RNAcentral lists this long non-coding RNA (222 nucleotides) under Elaeis guineensis (African oil palm). RNAcentral describes it as "long non-coding RNA (EGUI_LNC005423)". The record is from RNAcentral. Lineage: Eukaryota; Viridiplantae; Streptophyta; Magnoliopsida; Arecales; Arecaceae.
CUCUGCUAUUGACCAGCUGCAACCUAAUUUGGGAAGAAUGCUUAAUCCAGAUGCUUAUGGAGUUUUGCUUGCUCGGGCUUAAGCCCAACUUUCCUUGUUGACGUAUGCCUUGUUCCUGUUUUCUAUUGACAAGCUUGCCUCCUUUUUUAUAUCAAAAAAAAAAAAACAAACACCUAAAAACCUUCUUUGGCAUGAUUUUAGAGAUAUUUACAAGAGUGAGAA